RNAcentral lists this ribosomal RNA (1371 nucleotides) under Latilactobacillus curvatus. Its description in RNAcentral is "bacterial SSU rRNA". It matches the Rfam family "Bacterial small subunit ribosomal RNA", at positions 67 to 1425 of the family's 1533-position model. The record is from RNAcentral. Lineage: Bacteria; Bacillati; Bacillota; Bacilli; Lactobacillales; Lactobacillaceae.
UUGCUUCUGAUUGAUAACAUUUGAGUGAGUGGCGGACGGGUGAGUAACACGUGGGUAACCUGCCCUAAAGUGGGGGAUAACAUUUGGAAACAGAUGCUAAUACCGCAUAAAACCUAGCACCGCAUGGUGCAAGGUUGAAAGAUGGUUUCGGCUAUCACUUUAGGAUGGACCCGCGGUGCAUUAGUUAGUUGGUGAGGUAAAGGCUCACCAAGACCGUGAUGCAUAGCCGACCUGAGAGGGUAAUCGGCCACACUGGGACUGAGACACGGCCCAGACUCCUACGGGAGGCAGCAGUAGGGAAUCUUCCACAAUGGACGAAAGUCUGAUGGAGCAACGCCGCGUGAGUGAAGAAGGUUUUCGGAUCGUAAAACUCUGUUGUUGGAGAAGAACGUAUUUGAUAGUAACUGAUCAGGUAGUGACGGUAUCCAACCAGAAAGCCACGGCUAACUACGUGCCAGCAGCCGCGGUAAUACGUAGGUGGCAAGCGUUGUCCGGAUUUAUUGGGCGUAAAGCGAGCGCAGGCGGUUUCUUAAGUCUGAUGUGAAAGCCUUCGGCUCAACCGAAGAAGUGCAUCGGAAACUGGGAAACUUGAGUGCAGAAGAGGACAGUGGAACUCCAUGUGUAGCGGUGAAAUGCGUAGAUAUAUGGAAGAACACCAGUGGCGAAGGCGGCUGUCUGGUCUGUAACUGACGCUGAGGCUCGAAAGCAUGGGUAGCAAACAGGAUUAGAUACCCUGGUAGUCCAUGCCGUAAACGAUGAGUGCUAGGUGUUGGAGGGUUUCCGCCCUUCAGUGCCGCAGCUAACGCAUUAAGCACUCCGCCUGGGGAGUACGACCGCAAGGUUGAAACUCAAAGGAAUUGACGGGGGCCCGCACAAGCGGUGGAGCAUGUGGUUUAAUUCGAAGCAACGCGAAGAACCUUACCAGGUCUUGACAUCCUUUGACCACUCUAGAGAUAGAGCUUUCCCUUCGGGGACAAAGUGACAGGUGGUGCAUGGUUGUCGUCAGCUCGUGUCGUGAGAUGUUGGGUUAAGUCCCGCAACGAGCGCAACCCUUAUUACUAGUUGCCAGCAUUUAGUUGGGCACUCUAGUGAGACUGCCGGUGACAAACCGGAGGAAGGUGGGGACGACGUCAAAUCAUCAUGCCCCUUAUGACCUGGGCUACACACGUGCUACAAUGGAUGGUACAACGAGUCGCGAGACCGCGAGGUUUAGCUAAUCUCUUAAAACCAUUCUCAGUUCGGAUUGUAGGCUGCAACUCGCCUACAUGAAGCCGGAAUCGCUAGUAAUCGCGGAUCAGCAUGCCGCGGUGAAUACGUUCCCGGGCCUUGUACACACCGCCCGUCACACCAUGAGAGUUUGUAACACCCAAA